This 253-nucleotide ribosomal RNA is filed under the name uncultured bacterium. Its description in RNAcentral is "partial 16S ribosomal RNA". It matches the Rfam family "Bacterial small subunit ribosomal RNA", at positions 524 to 776 of the family's 1533-position model. The record is from RNAcentral.
UACGGAGGGUGCAAGCGUUAUCCGGGUUCACUGGGUUUAAAGGGAGCGUAGGUGGGCUGGUAAGUCAGUGGUGAAAUCUCCGGGCUUAACUCGGAAACUGCCGUUGAUACUAUCAGUCUUGAAUAUUGUGGAGGUAAGCGGAAUAUGUCAUGUAGCGGUGAAAUGCUUAGAUAUGACAUAGAACACCGAUAGCGAAGGCAGCUUGCUACACAAUUAUUGACACUGAGGCUCGAAAGCGUGGGGAUCAAACAGG